This 492-nucleotide ribosomal RNA is filed under the name uncultured bacterium. Its description in RNAcentral is "partial 16S ribosomal RNA". It matches the Rfam family "Bacterial small subunit ribosomal RNA", at positions 29 to 507 of the family's 1533-position model. The record is from RNAcentral.
AGUGAACGCUGGCGGUAGGCCUAACACAUGCAAGUCGAACGGCAGCACAGUAAGAGCUUGCUCUUACGGGUGGCGAGUGGCGGACGGGUGAGGAAUACAUCGGAAUCUACUUUUUCGUGGGGGAUAACGUAGGGAAACUUACGCUAAUACCGCAUACGACCUACGGGUGAAAGCAGGGGAUCUUCGGACCUUGCGUGAUUGAAUGAGCCGAUGUCGGAUUAGCUAGUUGGCGGGGUAAAGGCCCACCAAGGCGACGCUCCGUAGCUGGUCUGAGAGGAUGAUCAGCCACACUGGAACUGAGACACGGUCCAGACUCCUACGGGAGGCAGCAGUGGGGAAUAUUGGACAAUGGGCGCAAGCCUGAUCCAGCCAUACCGCGUGGGUGAAGAAGGCCUUCGGGUUGUAAAGCCCUUUUGUUGGGAAAGAAAAGCAGCAGGUUAAUACCCCGCUGUUCUGACGGUACCCAAAGAAUAAGCACCGGCUAACUUCGUG